This 653-nucleotide long non-coding RNA is filed under the name Vombatus ursinus (common wombat). Its description in RNAcentral is "lncRNA (ENSVURG00010016747.1)". The record is from RNAcentral. Lineage: Eukaryota; Metazoa; Chordata; Mammalia; Diprotodontia; Vombatidae.
UUUCCCAGAAAGCACUGCCAGUGACGACGCCUCAUUCUCAGUCCCUGGACCGCUCUCAGUCGGUUGCCAUGGAAAUUGUCACUAACGAGGAAUGGGGGAGGGCCGGAAAUGUCGGAGCAGGGGCCCGGGCCACCCGAGGGGGACUUCCGCUUCCUCGUUGUCCUCUUUUCCUCGCCUGCUCUGCCUCUGAGGACCCUGCUCUUCCCCAAGAGGGAAGCAUUCAGGAGAGAAUGGUCCCUGUGAUCCCAACAGCCAGGUGCCAGGCCAAGAAAGACGUCCUACUCACGUAGCCGACCAGCCACCAUGAAGCCCUCCAAGAUUGAACCUGCCUUGACCUCCGACUCAUCGACAAGCAGUAAAAAAGGGGCAAAGAGGGAGCGUACCAUGUUCAAUGAAGUUCAGCUGGAUAUUCUCCUGGGGGAGUUUCAUAAGAACCCAUACCCUAACUACUCCGUCAGAAGUGAGCUUGCUAACCGCCUGGAUGUUCCCGAGUCUAGAAUACAGGUAAGUUAAAGGUUCACGCCUCCUCCCGUGCAUUUUCCUGGCAGUGCACUAAGCUACAAGGCUAACCGUCAGCAUCAACAAACAUUUACUCAGCACUUGGCACACUUAGCACAACGCCUGGCACACAGUAGGCGCUUAAUAAAUGCAAG